AUCACUGCUUCUCUCUUGAGUUAUUAGUUUCAUUGUAUAGUGUGUUUCAUGGCUGCUGCAUAUUUUUAGUUGAAGCUUCCAAUUAUUUGACAGUAAAGUAAUGCUUCAUCUAAUUUCAUAAAUACUAGAAACAUUGUUUCUAAGCGGAAAAUUCUUAAUUGAUCUAUUUUCAUCGUUCAUGACAAUUAUAUCUUAUAUUCAUACUGGGCAUUUGGCACCCAUGUCAGGGUCAAAGCUACAUACAAGACUGUUUACCCCCACGGGAGACCGAAUAUCUUAGAAACAACAUCCUAAAAAUUUGGCGCCCAUGUCGUACCAACAACCGGUAGAAGCUUGCCCUGGCAGGGCCUGUACGUAGCUGAGACCCUGUGUGCUUUACUCAGGUUACCCCAAGUUGUGAACCAAAGGAAGAUAUAGGGUUAUUUCUUGGUCCAUUGUGGGCAUGAUUUAGUUUAGUUUUUGUGGUUUGCAAAGAGGAAUUUAGAUGAGUAUGUAUUUCUUGGCAAUCGGCUGCAGGUGUAUAUGCACCUUAGUUUGAGAGAUUUUUGGAUACCAAGAAGAAACUGAAGGUCGGGAGAAAUGAAGUCCUCAACCAAAUAAGAUCCUUAUAUCGUACUGCACAUGAUUAGCUCCAAAGUUGAGUUACUCAACUAUAUUUACCUAUAUGGAAAACAAUAUCGAGCAAAAAAAUUUAAAAAAUAUUUUCCUGUGUUAUGUUAUUUGUCAACAUAACCCCUGAUAUUGCGUCGUCGUCCUCACCGGAAGCAGCACCGCCUCUGCCCCGUGCGGCGUUGUCGUCCCCAUCAAGCCGCACCAGAGGGAGAUGCUUAGCUGUGGCCACACAAACGGAUGGGGACGUCAAGCCAAGCUGGUGGCUGGCGGCCUACCAUCGCGUCAACUUACACAGGAUAGGAGAGCCCUCGAAAAAAAUAACACAGGAUAGGACCAGAGGAAUCUUGAUCGCGGCAUCCAGACCUGGAGUGGAGGACAUGGGUCGCCAUGAAGCAAUUGCCCCUUCGUUGUGAAGUUGCAGCUGUGUACAGAAGCUUUUUGUGUAAAUGCCUACGACCACAGACCGCUCCUGGAAGAAUGCUCACAACUCAGCUUGAAUUUGUAAGUUAAUUGUCCUCUCAGAUGCACCCCUCUUGAUGUUUUAUAUGUUUCAACAUGGAUUCUUGGUUCCUAUAAAUUUACAGGUUAUGAUGUUGUGAUGAACUUGCAGCAAUGAAGUGAUUUGGGUAACAUCUUGCUUUUUAAAAUGACUUUCAUUUACUUCUGUGGCAUUGAAGGAGCGACACAAUUCCUCCCAACUACAGAAUUUGCAGCGGCUGAAGAUUCUAGAAGUACAGGUUAUAUUGCCUUAUGAAUUGUCUAAGGAAGUCCUAAAUUAUUUAUCUUUUGCUUCACCAAUGGUUUGUCGAACUGAAAUAGUAUGGCCAUGUGCCCAUGUUAUUUCUUUGUUUGCCCAAAUAAAUUUAACUUCCGAUCACAAAAUAAAAGAAUGUCCAUGGAUAUCUCUUCGCAUUGGUUUAAUUCUGUAUCCUGAAAUAGCUAUUGAUAAUGACUAUUGAUAAAGCUGUUAUGAACACCCUCUUAGUUACAAUCAUAUUUUGUGAAACUGCUUUUACACCAACUUUCCUAGAACUGGUAAUGAGUAUAUAUUUUUAACGCUUAAUGCAAUGCAGAUUUGUAGGGUAUCAAAAAAGAAAGGUAUUGUUAGUUAUAUUCUGUUGUAGUAAUGUAGUGCCCGGAAUUAGAUGUACCAUAUUCUCAUUAGCUUUGCCCUAAAUAAGAACUAUUAGAAAGGUUUGGGUGUUACUUCAGUUACAAUUUACACUGUCUUCCUUUAUAAAAUAUGUAUCUUAUGUCUUGCACUAUUGUUCCUUUCUUCAGAGAUAAAAUGCUUCAUGUGAUGAGUGGUGUAAUUAAAUUGGAGAGAAACAUGAAGAAGUUUGAUGGCACCCAUUCUUAGGUUGAAAAUUGAAUGUCCGAUCCAUUACUUGCUCUUUUUUGCUUUAUCACUUUAUUAUGUAGUUCCUGAUUUUGGAAGAUGUAUUAUCUGGUCAUCGCUUGCAUUUGACUACAUUUGUGCGAUUUGUAAUGUAAUUCAUCCAGUAUACGGGUUAUACAUUUGGUAGCAAAUUUGAAUUUUCUUGGAUAUACAUAUAUCUGAUUUAUUCAUUUGGUUUAGAGUCCAA
This is a long non-coding RNA of Lolium rigidum, 2198 nucleotides long. RefSeq lists it as uncharacterized. The transcript has 4 exons. The record is from RefSeq and is a predicted model, not a curated record. NCBI's taxonomy places the organism in Eukaryota, Viridiplantae, Streptophyta, Magnoliopsida, Poales, Poaceae.